GACGAACGCUGGCGGCGUGCCUAAUACAUGCAAGUAGAACGCUGAAGAGAGGAGCUUGCUCUUCUUGGAUGAGUUGCGAACGGGUGAGUAACGCGUAGGUAACCUGCCUGGUAGCGGGGGAUAACUAUUGGAAACGAUAGCUAAUACCGCAUAAAAUUGAUUAUUGCAUGAUAGUCAAUUGAAAGGUGCAACUGCACCACUACCAGAUGGACCUGCGUUGUAUUAGCUAGUUGGUGGGGUAACGGCUCACCAAGGCGACGAUACAUAGCCGACCUGAGAGGGUGAUCGGCCACACUGGGACUGAGACACGGCCCAGACUCCUACGGGAGGCAGCAGUAGGGAAUCUUCGGCAAUGGACGGAAGUCUGACCGAGCAACGCCGCGUGAGUGAAGAAGGUUUUCGGAUCGUAAAGCUCUGUUGUAAGAGAAGAACGAGUGUGAGAGUGGAAAGUUCAC
This 455-nucleotide ribosomal RNA is filed under the name Streptococcus cristatus. Its description in RNAcentral is "bacterial SSU rRNA". It matches the Rfam family "Bacterial small subunit ribosomal RNA", at positions 28 to 467 of the family's 1533-position model. Lineage: Bacteria; Bacillati; Bacillota; Bacilli; Lactobacillales; Streptococcaceae. The record is from RNAcentral.